RNAcentral lists this unclassified non-coding RNA (376 nucleotides) under uncultured bacterium. RNAcentral's name for it is "contains 16S-23S intergenic spacer region". The record is from RNAcentral.
UCCGGUUUGUCACCGGCAGUCCUCUUAGAGUCCCCGACAUAACUCGCUGGCAACUAAGAGCAGGGGUUGCGCUCGUUGCGGCACUUAAGCCAACACCUCACGGCACGAGCUGACGACAGCCAUGCAGCACCUGUGCUAGCCCCUUACGGACACGGGCUUUCACCCGCUUUAACUAGCAUGUCAAACCCAGGUAAGGUUCUUCGCGUUGCGCCGAAUUAAACAACAUGCUCCACCGCUUGUGCGGGCCCCCGUCAAUUUCUUUGAGUUUUAGCCUUGCGGCCGUACUCCCCAGGCGGAGUGCUUAACGCGUUAGCUUCGGCACCACGAGGGUCAAAGCCCGUGACACCUAGCACUCAUCGUUUACGGCGUGGACUAC